GGGGCCGACCUGGUUUCGACGUGGGUAGUGAAGCAAUUCAGGGCAUACCGAGGACCCGUCACCUCGUAAAUCAAUGGGAAUCAACUAACUGCAAACGACUCUCGUUUCCAGCUGGCCGCUUAACACCGGCCAACCUCGCACUAGCCUGCUGAUGGGGUAGGGUCGCAAGACCGCGCGAGGUCAUUUUCAUCAGAUCGUGCCAGAUGGCGUCGCGACGUCCGGUACUAAAACCUAGCGAAUCGCCGUGCCGAAGCGUGUUCUGUCCGCGUCGGAACGGUUAAAUCAAAAGACAGGACUAAGUAUGUAGAACUGGUUGCAGAAGACUUACGGACGCGGGUUCGAUUCCCGCCGGCUCCACCA
This is a non-coding RNA of Pandoraea thiooxydans, 360 nucleotides long. The record is from Rfam. Lineage: Bacteria; Pseudomonadati; Pseudomonadota; Betaproteobacteria; Burkholderiales; Burkholderiaceae.